AUUGAACGCUGGCGGCGUGCCUAACACAUGCAAGUCGAGCGGUAACAGGUGUAGCAAUACAUGCUGACGAGCGGCGGACGGGUGAGUAACGCUUGGGAAUCUGCCUGAUAGUGGGGGACAACCCGGGGAAACUCGGGCUAAUACCGCAUACGCACUACGGUGGAAAGCCGGGGACCGCAAGGCCUGGCGCUAACAGAUGAGCCCAAGGUCGGAUUAGCUAGUUGGUAGGGUAAUGGCCUACCAAGGCGACGAUCCGUAACUGGUCUGAGAGGACGACCAGUCACACCGGAAACUGAGACACGGUCCGGACUCCUACGGGAGGCAGCAGUGGGGAAUAUUGGACAAUGGGCGAAAGCCUAUCCAGCGACGCCGCGUGGGUGAAGAAGGCCUGC
Molecule: ribosomal RNA, 392 nt
Filed under: uncultured bacterium
Lineage: Bacteria
Description: bacterial SSU rRNA
Rfam family: Bacterial small subunit ribosomal RNA
Source: RNAcentral